GCCCCGGUAGCUCAAUUGGAUAGAGCAUUGUCUUCGCAGGCCAAGGUUGCGGGUUCGAGUCCCGCCCGGGGUA
This 73-nucleotide transfer RNA is filed under the name Candidatus Hatepunaea meridiana. Its description in RNAcentral is "tRNA-Ala". It matches the Rfam family "tRNA". Rfam says of the family: Transfer RNA (tRNA) molecules are approximately 80 nucleotides in length. Lineage: Bacteria; Pseudomonadati; Candidatus Electryoneota; Candidatus Electryoneia; Candidatus Hatepunaeales; Candidatus Hatepunaeaceae. The record is from RNAcentral.